Molecule: ribosomal RNA, 433 nt
Filed under: uncultured bacterium
Lineage: Bacteria
Description: bacterial SSU rRNA
Rfam family: Bacterial small subunit ribosomal RNA
Source: RNAcentral
AACGAACGCUGGCGGCAGGCUUAACACAUGCAAGUCGAGCGAGGACUUCGGUCCUAGUGGCGGACGGGUGAGUAACGCGUGGGAACGUGCCCUUUGGUUCGGAAUAGCCCUGGGAAACUGGGAGUAAUGCCGAAUAAGCUCUACGGAGGAAAGAUUUAUCGCCAAAGGAUCGGCCCGCGUUGGAUUAGGUAGUUGGUGGGGUAAUGGCCUACCAAGCCGACGAUCCAUAGCUGGUUUGAGAGGAUGAUCAGCCACACUGGGACUGAGACACGGCCCAGACUCCUACGGGAGGCAGCAGUGGGGAAUCUUGGACAAUGGGGGCAACCCUGAUCCAGCCAUGCCGCGUGAUCGAUGAAGGCCUUAGGGUUGUAAAGAUCUUUCAGCUGGGAAGAUAAUGACGGUACCAGCAGAAGAAGCCCCGGCUAACUCCGUG